AAGACCUUGCACUUUUGGAGCGGCCGAUGUCUGAUUAGCUAGUCGGUGGGGUAAUGGCCUACCAAAGCUUCGAUCAGUAGCUGGUCUGAGAGGACGGCCAGCCACACUGGGACUGAGACACGGCCCAGACUCCUACGGGAGGCAGCAGUGGGGAAUUUUGGACAAUGGGCGCAAGCCUGAUCCAGCCAUGCCGCGUGAGUGAAGAAGGCCUUCGGGUUGUAAAGCUCUUUCAGCCGGGAAGAAAAGGUUGCGAUUAAUAAUCGCAAUUUAUGACGGUACCGGAAGAAGAAGCACCGGCUAACUACGUGCCAGCAGCCGCGGUAAUACGUAGGGUGCGAGCGUUAAUCGGAAUUACUGGGCGUAAAGGGUGCGCAGGCGGUUUUGUAAGUCAGAUGUGAAAUCCCCGGGCUUAACCUGGGAACU
RNAcentral lists this ribosomal RNA (423 nucleotides) under uncultured bacterium. RNAcentral describes it as "bacterial SSU rRNA". It matches the Rfam family "Bacterial small subunit ribosomal RNA", at positions 207 to 622 of the family's 1533-position model. The record is from RNAcentral.